Molecule: long non-coding RNA, 663 nt
Filed under: Drosophila melanogaster (fruit fly)
Lineage: Eukaryota; Metazoa; Arthropoda; Insecta; Diptera; Drosophilidae
Description: long non-coding RNA:CR44515 (Dmel_CR44515)
Source: RNAcentral
AGUUGCUGCAAUUUAUUAUACCCUUUUAUCGCAAAGUAAAAGGGUAUAUUAUAUUCGUUGCAAAAUUUGCACCGAAAAUGGUUACACCUUUGGUUUGCAUUUCCAUUGCUGCCUUCGAUGGAAUCCUUUCCCAUUGACCCACAUUCGGGUCAUCAAGUGAUGCCCACAUAUGGACAGGAUUCUUGCAAAAAGGACUCGCUACGUCCCGCAUCCUUCGGCCAUUCUCCUCCAGUGCGUGAGUCCUGAAACACGAGGGAAAUCAAAGGACAUGGCGUCAAUCAGUUUUCCACUAAACCAGGCACACAUGUCGGUCACCUCCUGCGGGCUCCGCUGCCUCCCCUCCCUUUCUGCGACUCCUGUGGAUUUUGCCUCUUUUCCCAAUCUCCAUCGAGUGGAAAACUUGGCAGCAAUUGGCGACCGGCAGUUGAAGUAUGACUACCUUCUUUCUCGCAAAAAAAAAAAAUAGAUAGUUAAACUUUGCUCUGCUGGGCUAUUGAUGUAUUUCGACUGCUUGCAGUUGGUAUUUACAUUUGCCCAACUAUUUCAUUGUUUGUCCAUUUUGCAGGAUGAAUGUGCUUUGAUUUCGAUUUCAUUGCACACAGGUGCGCACGAGGACAAUUCGGUUCGGUAAAUGCUGUUUGAUCCAGGCAGUCAGUUGUAGUU